Molecule: ribosomal RNA, 603 nt
Filed under: Peniophora sp. OTU29 TS-2013
Lineage: Eukaryota; Fungi; Basidiomycota; Agaricomycetes; Russulales; Peniophoraceae
Description: eukaryotic LSU rRNA
Rfam family: Eukaryotic large subunit ribosomal RNA
Source: RNAcentral
AAACUAACAAGGAUUCCCCUAGUAACUGCGAGUGAAGCGGGAAAAGCUCAAAUUUAAAAUCUGGCGGUCUUUGGCCGUCCGAGUUGUAGUCUGGAGAAGUGCUUUCCGCGCUGGACCGUGUAUAAGUCUCUUGGAACAGAGCGUCAUAGAGGGUGAGAAUCCCGUCUUUGACACGGACUACCAGUGCUUUGUGAUGCGCUCUCAAAGAGUCGAGUUGUUUGGGAAUGCAGCUCAAAAUGGGUGGUGAAUUCCAUCUAAAGCUAAAUAUUGGCGAGAGACCGAUAGCGAACAAGUACCGUGAGGGAAAGAUGAAAAGCACUUUGGAAAGAGAGUUAAACAGUACGUGAAAUUGCUGAAAGGGAAACGCUUGAAGUCAGUCGCGUCGUCCGGAACUCAGCCUUGCUUUUGCUUGGUGCACUUUCCGGUUGACGGGCCAGCAUCGAUUUUGACCGUCGGAAAAGGGCUAGGGUAAUGUGGCACCUCCGGGUGUGUUAUAGACUCUAGUCGCAUACGGCGGUUGGGAUCCGAGGAACGCAGCGCGCCGCAAGGCAGGGGUUCGCCCACUUUCGCGCUUAGGAUGCUGGCAUAAUGGCUUUAAACGAC